Molecule: ribosomal RNA, 427 nt
Filed under: uncultured bacterium
Lineage: Bacteria
Description: partial 16S ribosomal RNA
Rfam family: Bacterial small subunit ribosomal RNA
Source: RNAcentral
UGGGGAAUAUUGCACAAUGGGCGCAAGCCUGAUGCAGCCAUGCCGCGUGUGUGAAGAAGGCCUUCGGGUUGUAAAGCACUUUCAGCGAGGAGGAAGGGUAGUGUGUUAAUAGCACAUUGCAUUGACGUUACUCGCAGAAGAAGCACCGGCUAACUCCGUGCCAGCAGCCGCGGUCAUACGGAGGGUGCAAGCGUUAAUCGGAAUUACUGGGCGUAAAGCGCACGCAGGCGGUUUGUUAAGUCAGAUGUGAAAUCCCCGCGCUUAACGUGGGAACUGCAUUUGAAACUGGCAAGCUAGAGUCUUGUAGAGGGGGGUAGAAUUCCAGGUGUAGCGGUGAAAUGCGUAGAGAUCUGGAGGAAUACCGGUGGCGAAGGCGGCCCCCUGGACAAAGACUGACGCUCAGGUGCGAAAGCGUGGGGAGCAAACA